UUUUUUUUUUUUCUCUCAUGCGUUUUCAUGCCAGUUAAAAUUAGUCAUAAUGGGUAAACUGCCUCUUAUAGGCCAAUAAAAAUAUGAUUUGUACAUCAGGACUGCAUAUAGACCCAAUGUCUAGAAAACAUCCACCUGUAGCCACAUCACUGAAAUGUCAUCUGAUGUUCAGCUGGAAGGUUUAUUGUAACAUGAACCUGGUUAAAAAUCCACUGCAAAGCGGGGCUUUUUUUAUCAAUAAUCUAAAGUAGCCAUAUCAGUUUUGUUUCCAAAUCACAUUUACUAACCAUGCUUCAUAAAACUUCUACAUUGCAGAAACUUCUGGUUAAACCUUCUCUGAUCAAACUGAGCCAUCAAACAAAAGCCUGACACAAAAGCAAUCGUCUAAAAAAAAUUCUUUCACUGGAGGAAUUGCGCUUUUCAGCUUAACAUUCAAAGUUCUUGAUAACUCAACAACUUCAUCAGAAAUGAUGCACCUGCUCACCAAGGGCAUGUGCUUUCACAUGAAAUUCCAACCAGAACACAAAGAUCCAUACAGUGUAGAUUGAGUUCUUUAAGAUGGGCUUGUUUGUGGGUUGGUGUGUGUGGGCGUGUGGGGGUGCGUGUGGGCGUGGGCGUGUGUAUGUGCCAUAAGUGAAUAUUCCUGAAAAUCAGCAGGAAGCUCCAGUUGCUGGAGGAGAAUGGAAGCCAAACCACAAGCGCAGAGAGAAGCCAGUUCUGUCAGUUUGAAGAGGUGUGUGUUCAGGGCACGUCACAACAGAGACUCACAGAGACCUUGGAGAAGAUUCUUCCAUCGUCCCCAACUCCCACUGUUGAUGCCAUGAUGAAUGACCAAAGACACCAUUUCUGGAAUUAUGCACCUCGGCAGCAUGCAAACAACAGACUAGAGCGUUAAACAAGAACGUGGGUGUGGAAGCGUACAGGCGGAUGAAAGGGCAUCAUCAUGGACCUCGAGGGCAGGGAGACACAUAAUGGCAAGACAAAGCUUGUUGGUUUCUAAUUGCUCUGACAAAGCUGUCCUUAACUCUUUAAAGCCACAAAAAUGACACUCAGAGGGCCGUACCCUGCACAGUGCUUGUUGUUGAGCUGUCCGCUCUUAUCUAUUAUUGUCGAAAUCGCUUCCAAAACAAGCCUUUAAAUCAUUUCUGUUUUGUCUCAAUGCCAGCUUUAUUUCCACUGCGUGGAAUACAUUAAAUGUGUGCAGAACCCAAACUAAGCUGGCCCUCUAAAACAUAUCCAAGUGUGAGAAUAUGUUGCCCCAGAUUUGCUCCGUUUCUGCCAAAAAGUUCUGCAAGACUCUCUGAGGCUGGAGUGUAUCUGUCUCAACUAGACAUCUCAACUGUAUUCCAGUUAAUGAGACACUGACAACAGUCCCACUUUUCAAACCAGACUCUCCAGCAUUGUAAUUUCUGUGUGGUAAAAUUGUUUCCUGCUGCUUAAGACUGCAAUCACAGCUGUUUAUGGCUGUAGAUUAAGUGCUGAUGUAAAAACAACAAUAACAAAAAAAAAAAAAAAAACAGGUCAGAGCAGUUUUGGUAAUACUGUUCCCGGUUGUUCUGGAACUACAUUUACCAGGGUUUUCUAUUUUUGGGGGCUAGAAAUGAUCUUACAAUGACAAAUAAUUUAUUAGCUGGUGAAGCAGGGUAAUAGGAAACCAGUAGACCCAACAGUGGUGGUGUACCUCCUGCUGAUUGUGUGUAAUUGAAUCAUUAACUGAAAGGAGGCUUGUUCAACAUGGGAGCAGUGUGAGUUUAAUCAGUGAGGUCAUUCACCGACGUCAAACAGACGGCUCUUAUUUCAGGACGACGGCAGGAAGUGUCAUCAUCCAGGCUGUGCUGCAGUUCUCUCUGAAACAGAUCAUUGUUCUGUGCAAAACAUCUUACUUUGACUUAAACUGAAUCACAACCCAGGUAAAAUUAUAUUAAAAGUUGCAACCAGAAAGAUGGAGAAGACAAUGGAAACCUACCAUUCAAUUAGACAUGAUGGGCCUUUUUUUUUUUUUGACUGAACUGAAACACUGAAUUCCACAGCAGAUCUACAUGGUAAGGUUGUCAAAGUCAAGCUAGCAUAACAGAUCUACGUCUCUCUCCCUCACUAGCUUUUCUUUCAAUAAAAACUUUUUCCUGAUGUGAUGCCCUUGGACCUUGCUCUCUAGUUGUUGUAGUGUUGACAAUUAGUAGCAGCUGCGUCCCUUUUUUAAAAUAAAUCUCACGUACAUUUAAGGUUUGCUGCAUCAUGUUGCCAACUUGACAGCUAAAACCAGUGGCAGUCAAAGUUAUUGAGUGGUUUUUUGUCCUCUCUAUUACGUGUAAAAUCACAUGGCAAUUUGCCUGUAGACUACUAUGAGCUCACAUUUUCUGAAUCUUUUCUUUCUUUCCAUUAGUACAAUGUUCCCACCACUUCUGGGGCCCUUCAUUUCAGGCCCUAAAAUUGAUGACCUUUUAUAGGCAUCAGGUGCAGACAGAAUCAGUCCAACUGGAAUGAUAUAUUAUUGGUAUGCAAUGUGUGAAUGCAUGCAAGCAUUCCAUUACACUCACUAAUAUUGUGAUGAUAAUUGUGGGUUCCAUAUAUAAUGCAGUUCAAGGACAAAUCUGCAUGCUUACAAAGCCGACAGUUUUAAUGCGUCACCUCCUAGUUUGUUAAGCUAGGAGGUUGAAAGACAUACAGAGCUUUUGAAGUCCCAGCAACAUAAUACACAACAUAUUCAAAUAAAAUUGGUGUGUUGUCUCCCAUUAAGCUGCAGACAAGCUUAUGUGUGCUACAGUUCAAGUUCCACAGAAACACUCGUCUGUAGAAUUUCAAACGGAACUUGUCUGAUGGCCCAAACCGCUUGAAGUUUUGCUUCGGCACAGCACACACACUUCGUCUGAUCCUCAUUUUGCCUUUCCCUUUGAAGGAAUACACAAACGCAUGUAUACUGACAAUACAUACACAUAAACACGCACCCACACACACACACACCUACGCAAUUCUUUCCUACUUUGAUUUUAUUUUCUGCAACAGGUCUCUGUCCCUGUGGUUGUUUAUUAUAAUGUACAAAAGUCA
Molecule: long non-coding RNA, 3045 nt
Organism: Xiphophorus couchianus (Monterrey platyfish)
Lineage: Eukaryota; Metazoa; Chordata; Actinopteri; Cyprinodontiformes; Poeciliidae
Exons: 2
Source: RefSeq, a predicted model, not a curated record